Molecule: long non-coding RNA, 1181 nt
Filed under: Homo sapiens (human)
Lineage: Eukaryota; Metazoa; Chordata; Mammalia; Primates; Hominidae
Description: HSALNT0296251
Source: RNAcentral
CCCUGUCUGGUCCUUUGCAGGAGAAUACGUGUGGAUCAUGGACUAGAAUAAUGACAAUGGGAAUGGGGAAAACUAGUUGGAUCAAAGAAAUAUUUUGGAGCCAGAUUUUCUUCAAAUAUGUCAAUUAAGACUACGUAUCACAACAGAUUGAAUGCUGAAGUGGACAGAAAAACCCACUGUCUUUCUUUAAAUCAGAAAACUACCUUGGACUACGAGGGUGUGGGGUGAGCCAGCCAUUACCCCCACCCUGAAGCCUGUCCCCCUUUUCUUCUCCAUGGACUACAAGGGGUCUUGAGGGCAUGCAGGUGAACACCCAGAUCACAAGUCCAAGCAGAUACCCACCUGCUGCAAACAGCUACCUAUUGGCCACCUUUUGGGCCUAGGGGUAUGCAUAUCUACAGCGACAUCCACUUUCAGAAGGACAGACACUUUGAAGAAACCUAUGUAGGCCCUGGAGGCAGGAUUUGGACCAUUUGGGCAAGAAAUCCAGGGUUCCAGAUAUUAAUGAGAAAGAGUUCGUCCUUCCCGUAACGUUUUCUCUAAAGGAAAAAGAAGAUCUGAUAGGGUUAAGUGACUUCUCCAGGGCUCCACAGUGGCAAGUGGCAAAGGCGGGGUUAGGAGACCAGACUUCUGACUUUACGGGGCUAUGCCUGUGUUUCAUGCUGCUUCCCCCUAGUCUGAUAUUGUAAAGGAGUCACCAAAUCUAUGUCUCCAGCUGAGAUGAGAAGAAAUUGGAUUUCCUGAGAAUCAUGAUAGCUGCCUCUUACUAAACCCUGGCUAUGCUCAGGCACCAUUCCAAGAACUUUAAGUAUAUGAUCUCUAACAAUAACAACCUGGCAAUGUAAGUAUUGUUAUUCUCUUCUUACAUAUGUGACAAUGACAAUUCAGAGUUGUUAGGUAACUAUUCCAAUUAUAAACUUCAAUAAAUGUCAAUAUGUGUGUGUGUGUACACAUAUAUGUAUACACAUACAUAUAUACACAUAUAUGCACACACAUACAUAUAUACAUAUAUGCACACACAUACAUAUAUACAUAUAUGCACACACAUACAUAUAUACACAUAUAUGUGCACACACAUACAUAUAUACACAUAUAUGUGUACACACAUACAUAUAUACACAUAUAUGUGUACACACAUGCAUAUAUACACACAUAUAUGUGUACACACAUGCAUAUAUACA